This is a long non-coding RNA of Oncorhynchus masou masou (cherry salmon), 2493 nucleotides long. RefSeq lists it as uncharacterized. Lineage: Eukaryota; Metazoa; Chordata; Actinopteri; Salmoniformes; Salmonidae. The record is from RefSeq and is a predicted model, not a curated record. The transcript has 3 exons.
GUCAAGGAAAGAGAAGAUGGAGCAGGUGGUCAGCUAAGUCAAGGAAAGAGAAGAUGGAGAAGGAGGUCAGCUAAGUCAAGGAAAGAGAAGAUGGAUCAGGAGGUCAGCUAAGUCAAGGAAAGAGAAGAUGGAUCAGGAGGUCAGCUAAGUCAAGGAAAGAGAAGAUGGAUCAGGAGGUCAGCUAAGUCAAGGAAAGAGAAGAUGGAGCAGGUGGUCAGCUAAGUCAAGGAAAGAGAAGAUGGAUCAGGAGGUCAGCUAAGUCAAGGAAAGAGAAGAUGGAUCAGGAGGUCAGCUAAGUCAAGGAAAGAGAAGAUGGAGCAGGAGGUCAGCUAAGUCAAGGAAAGAGAAGAUGGAGCAGGAGGUCAGCUAAGUCAAGGAAAGAGAAGAUGGAGCAGGAGGUCAGCUAAGACAAGGAAAGAGAAGAUGGAGCAGGUGGUCAGCUAAGUCAAGGAAAGAGAAGAUGGAGCAGGUGGUCAGCUAAGUCAAGGAAAGAGAAGAUGGAGCAGAAGGUCAGCUAAGUCAAGGAAAGAGAAGAUGGAGCAGGAGGUCAGCUAAGUCAAGGAAAGAGAAGGUCAGCUAAGUGAAUAUGGAGAAGGAGGUCAGCUAAGACAAGGAAAGAGAAGAUGGAGCAGGUGGUCAGCUAAGUCAAGGAAAGAGAAGAUGGAGCAGGUGGUCAGCUAAGUCAAGGAAAGAGAAGAUGGAGCAGAAGGUCAGCUAAGUCAAGGAAAGAGAAGAUGGAGCAGGAGGUCAGCUAAGUCAAGGAAAGAGAAGGUCAGCUAAGUGAAUAUGGAGAAGGAGGUCAGCUAAGUCAAGGAAAGAGAAGAUGGAGCAGGAGGUCAGCUAAGUCAAGGAAAGAGAAGGUCAGCUAAGUGAAUAUGGAGAAGGAGGUCAGCUAAGUCAAGGAAAGAGAAGAUGGAGCAGGAGGUCAGCUAAGUCAAGGAAAGAGAAGGUCAGCUAAGUGAAUAUGGAGAAGGAGGUCAGCUAAGUCAAGGAAAGAGAAGAUGGAGAAGGAGGUAAGCUAAGUCAAGGAAAGAGAAGAUGGAGCAGGAGGUCAGCUAAGUCAAGGAAAGAGAAGAUGGAGCAGGAGGUCAGCUAAGUCAAGGAAAGAGAAGAUGGAGCAGGAGGUCAGCUAAGACAAGGAAAGAGAAGAUGGAGCAGGUCAGCUAAGUCAAGGAAAGAGAAGAUGGAGAAGGAGGUAAGCUAAGUCAAGGAAAAAGAAUAUGGAGCAGGAGGUCAGCUAAGUCAAGGAAAGAGAAGGUCAGCUAAGUGAAUAUGGAGAAGGAGGUCAGCUAAGUCAAGGAAAGAGAAGAUGGAGAAGGAGGUAAGCUAAGUCAAGGAAAAAGAAUAUGGAGCAGGAGGUCAGCUAAGUCAAGGAAAGAGAAGAUGGAGAAGGAGGUCAGCUAAGUCAAGGAAAGAGAAGAUGGAGCAGAAGGUCAGCUAAGUCAAGGAAAGAGAAGAUGGAGCAGGAGGUCAGCUAAGACAAGGAAAGAUAAUAUGGAGAAGGUCAGCUAAGUCAAGGAAAGAGAAGAUGGAGCAGGAGGUCAGCUAAGUCAAGGAAAGAGAAGGUCAGCUAAGUGAAUAUGGAGAAGGAGGUCAGCUAAGUCAAGGAAAGAGAAGAUGGAGAAGGAGGUAAGCUAAGUCAAGGAAAAAGAAUAUGGAGCAGGAGGUCAGCUAAGUCAAGGAAAGAGAAGAUGGAGCAGGAGGUCAGCUAAGACAAGGAAAGAGAAGAUGGAGAAGGUCAGCUAAGUCAAGGAAAGAGAAGAUGGAGCAGGAGGUCAGCUAAGUCAAGGAAAGAGAAGGUCAGCUAAGUGAAUAUGGAGAAGGAGGUCAGCUAAGUCAAGGAAAGAGAAGAUGGAGAAGGAGGUAAGCUAAGUCAAGGAAAAAGAAUAUGGAGCAGGAGGUCAGCUAAGUCAAGGAAAGAGAAGAUGGAGAAGGAGGUCAGCUAAGACAAGGAAAUAGAAUAUGGAGAAGGAGGUAAGCUAAGUCAAGGAAAGAGAAUAUGAAGAAGGUCAGCUAAGUCAAGGAAAGAGAAUAUGGAGCAGGAGGUCAGCUAAGUCAAGGAAAGAGAAGAUGGAGAAGGAGGUCAGCUAAGACAAGGAAAUAGAAUAUGGAGAAGGAGGUCAGCUAAGACAAGGAAAUAGAAUAUGGAGAAGGAGGUCAGCUAAGACAAGGAAAUAGAAUAUGGAGAAGGAGGUCAGCUAAGUCAAGGAAAUAGAAUAUGGAGAAGGAGGUCAGCUAAGACAAGGAAAGAGGAUGGAGCAUCAGGUCAGCUAACGGCAUACUUUCAUUAUCAGAACAAGAUAAGGCAUUGUACGUGACUUGUGUGAUGUGUUCAGGAUGUAAUUUACUGAGACUCAAACCUGCAUUUGUAGAAAAUAAACCCUGCCCUGGUUGAAAUGGUGGUGUGUCCUACAUGUAGGAAGUUUAGCAACACUAGCCUUCUCUGGCUCUGAACCAUGAUGGUGUUUGAUAAGCAACACUAGCCUUCUCUGG